AGUGAACGCUGGCGGUAGGCCUAACACAUGCAAGUCGAACGGCAGCACAGUAAGAGCUUGCUCUUACGGGUGGCGAGUGGCGGACGGGUGAGGAAUACAUCGGAAUCUACUUUUUCGUGGGGGAUAACGUAGGGAAACUUACGCUAAUACCGCAUACGACCUACGGGUGAAAGCAGGGGAUCUUCGGACCUUGCGCGAUUGAAUGAGCCGAUGUCGGAUUAGCUAGUUGGCGGGGUAAAGGCCCACCAAGGCGACGAUCCGUAGCUGGUCUGAGAGGAUGGUCAGCCACACUGGAGCUGAGACACGGUCCAGACUCCUACGGGAGGCCGCAGUGGGGAAUAUUGGACAAUGGGCGCAAGCCUGAUCCAGCCAUACCGCGUGGGUGAAGAAGGCCUUCGGGUUGUAAAGCCCUUUUGUUGGGAAAGAAAAGCAGCAGGUUAAUACCCCGCUGUUCUGACGGUACCCAAAGAAUAAGCACCGGCUAACUUCGU
RNAcentral lists this ribosomal RNA (491 nucleotides) under uncultured bacterium. Its description in RNAcentral is "partial 16S ribosomal RNA". It matches the Rfam family "Bacterial small subunit ribosomal RNA", at positions 29 to 506 of the family's 1533-position model. The record is from RNAcentral.